CAUGGUUUGGUAGGAACCGUGCUCACUCAAAAUUUAAGCUCUGCUUUGUAGACUUUUAUUUAUGUAGUUAAUCAGUGGUGUGCCAAGCAGAGGGUAAACUGAUAAAAGUAAUGCCUUUUGGAAGAGACGCUAACCUGAGAUGCUGCCAGCCCUCUCAGAGGACGUAAAGUUCCCAUGGAGCUAUUCCACGAGAAACAGGUUUCUUGAUGGCUACCUGUGAGGAAGCAAAUCUCAAGGUUAUAUGUAAAAGUACAUGAAUGGCAUACGUCAUUGUGCCACCGCGUCACAUGCAUGAGUCUCCCUAAAAGUAAGAACAAGAUGCUGCCUGGCCUGCUGAGUUCCUCCAGCAUUUUGUGUGUGUCACAUGGAAGCUGUGCUUCGCAAACAUAGAAAUCCUUAUUCGCAAAUCCCCAGAAACAAGAGUUCAGGAGAAUCCAAAUGAACCUCAUUCUCCUGACAUGAUAUUUUCUUCAACAUAAAGAUAAGAAUAAGUGAUUAAAGAACAGUUUCAAUUGCUGUAAUUACCAACUUAACUUCAACAUUUUCAAUACAGUCAGGGAACUGUACAGAAUUACAUAUUUACAAUGGUGGUAUGUCCUAACUAGCAGAACCUCUCAGAAUAUUUAACACUGGUAUCUGUUUUAGAAGUCUGAGUACAAAUUCCAGACAUUCAAAAUAUACCACUUCUGUUACAGUGUUACACACUUGCUGUGUGACUGCACACUCCGGCUGUGUGGCAAAUAAAGCACAACAUCGUCUCUUCCACCUCAGGAGAAAUUCGGCUUGAGCCUCCAAAUCGUCAAGACCUUCUACAGGGGCACCAUUGAGAGCAUCCUGACUGGUUGUAUCAUCAGAACUACACCAAUCUUGAUCGCUGGGUACUGCAGAGAGUGGUACAGACAGCCCAGCGCAUUAGUGGAUGUGAACUUCUCUCCACUGAGGGCAUUUAUAGCAGCAGGUGUGGAAAGAAGACCUGGGAGAUCAUCGGGGUCAACAGUCACCCUGACCAUAAACUGUUUUCAGCUGCUUCCAUUUGGCAAACAGUACCACAGCAUUAAAGCCAGAACCAUCAGGCUAUGGGACAGCUUCUUUCUACAAGACAUUACACUUAUAAAUUCACAUGUCUGUAUAUUGCCACUGAGUCAUAAUGCAAAGAUCUUUACUCCUUCAUGUGUGAGAUGGAUGUAAAAUUUAAAAAAUUCUAAAUUCUAAAUUAAAGAAUGACCACAUGAAUAUACAACUAACCAGGAACAAAACAGAUCUGUCCUGAAUUGUGCACUUAAGUUAACAAAAUGCUAAUA
Molecule: long non-coding RNA, 1301 nt
Organism: Mobula hypostoma (lesser devil ray)
Lineage: Eukaryota; Metazoa; Chordata; Chondrichthyes; Myliobatiformes; Myliobatidae
Exons: 4
Source: RefSeq, a predicted model, not a curated record